AAGGUUUCUCUGUAUAUUCUAGCUGUCCUGGAACUCACUCAGGCUAGACUGAAACUCAGAGAUUCACCUGCUUCUGCCUCCUGAGUGCUGGGAUUAAAGGAGAGUGCUACCACACUCGACUAACGCUGUACUCUGAAAGACAUUAGCAUACUUACAACAAGAUGAGAGGCAGAGAGAAGAGAAGUGCCUGGAAACUCAUGGCCCAGCUUUGGAUAUGCAGCACAGCAGCAGAAAGAAGAGAUCCUGCCUUAACAAGGUGGAGGAUAAGAAUCAAUGGACCCUGAACAUUGUUCUCUGACCUCCACACAAGUACCAUCCCACAACUGAAAGAAAGAAAGGAAGAAAGAAAGAAAGAAAGAGAGAGAAAGAGAAAGAAGGA
Molecule: long non-coding RNA, 379 nt
Organism: Grammomys surdaster
Lineage: Eukaryota; Metazoa; Chordata; Mammalia; Rodentia; Muridae
Exons: 2
Source: RefSeq, a predicted model, not a curated record